AGUCCGCCUCAGGAUGGCUGCGGGUCGUGCCUCGCCUCGCGGCUGCUGCCCGAGGUUUCAGCCCUCUCUCCUUCCUCAGUCCGCCCUCCGACGGCUACCUGAGCCCGGUCGCAGGGUGGGGAGGCGAGGCUGUCUUCCGUGGCAGGUGCCCGACGAGGAGUCCUGCCCGUACCCUCAGCUCGGCCAGCCCACGGGGCUGCUUUUGAGGUUUUAAAGGUUUGGGUGGUGUGGCCCUCAGUGGCUGUGGAGUCUCCUGCGGUGCUAGAGUUCGCAUUGGUGUACAUCUGGUUAUUCGUCAUGCACGGCAUACCUGGUGGCCGACAGGCCAGGCUCUUGAGGGAAGAAGCAGUGACUGACUGACAUCACCAGCUGAAUCAAAGGGAGAAAUAUGGCAAGCCACCAUGAGCAGGCUGCAAGCCAUGCAGGACAAUGACCAGGGAGAACUCUGUGCCCAGUCCCUGUGGGCACAUGCUGACCCAUCCAGGAGGAUGAAAAAAUACAGAAAAGUUUCCAAGAAUUGCUGCCUCCAGUACAUAAUGGUACAGCAAAAGACAAAAUAAACAAAAACCAAAAAUGAGACACCAAAUUCCCAGUGCAAGACCCCAUAAUGAACAAAGAAUGUCAAUGAUGGUGAAUUCUCUAGACUUACAAUGGGAUAGACAUGAAUUUAUUUCAAUGUAAUGUGCUUCAUUUUGGUGAUAAAACACCAAGCCAGAUUUUCAUUGUUGGCAUUACGUUUGUGUGUUGACUUGGUACAUAAUGCCAACAAUGAAAAUCUGUGAAAUUGAAUCAAUCAAUGAAAGUCUCUCAAAUUUUAUGUUUGACUUCUCUGACCUGCAUAGAAGUACACUGCUGUGUGCAAUGUGUUGGAGAGUAGCCUCAAAGUUGAAAUUCCAGGCUUUGCUUUUGAAGAGAGAGAUUGUGGUGCUUCAGUAUGACAGGGACUGCUAUUAGAAGCACAAAGGUAAGGAAAAUGAUUCCUCAAAAUGUUCCUGAACCUUUAUACAAGAUCUGUUUUAAAAAAGUUACCCACUUUUCCAAGAUAUUUCCAAUACUUUUUCAUGUGUCCAAAUCCACAUAUUUUUCUACAGAGAGCUGUUCAGUUUUUCACAGCUCAGCAUGUUCAGAUCCAGUUACUAAUGAUCUCCACCUCAGCAAGCCAAAUUGCAACAGCUGUGCCUAAUCAUUUUAAUGCUCUCUAGUGUUGACUUGGAUUAUAGCAUGUUAUUUCUGUUCACUUCUUCAGCUCUACUAGCUAUUACUAAACAACUUCUAGCACUUGCAAAAUGCAAAACAUUAUGCAAAGACGUUUAUAUGGGUCAUGAGUUUUAACUGAAUGGUAGAUCCCAUUCAUAUUUUUUUAUUUACUCAACAUUUUUCAGGAUCAAACUGCGAUCAAAUCAAAAAAAAAGAUGAAAUGAUUUAAGAAGAAGCAUUAGCAAGCAAUUUAUUUAAAUAUCACACCUGGAUCAUCUCUCUCCUCCCCCAGAUGUCAGAGAUCUCUGGCAGAGAUGUAGCUGGUGAUAUACUGCCUCUGAAUCUUUCUGUCUCUGGAUCCCAUCACAAGACAACAUCCAGUGACAGCAGCCUGUAUCGAAAUGUCACAUAUGUCUUACAGUCACGCUCAUGUUUCUGGACUGGAUUAAAAUAAUUAUGUGGGGAACAGAGCUAGCGGACAGCAGUCCAUAUUUUUCUGCAGUCUAGCUGCAAGUGGCAGGUUGUAAUGGCAGGUGCAUGCUUGGGAUUAACAGAUAAAGGUAAUGUGUUAACGCAUCAAUCCCUAUAAAAUUGUUGCCUUGCUAGAUCAAGCAAGCUGUCUCCCUGUGAAAGCAGUUACUUCAGUGAAAGAAGCUAUAUGAGAUGUUUUGCCGACAGAAAACAUGCCAAUUGCAAAUCUUACCUCCCCACACCUCCAGCCAAUAUUACUAAAACAUGGAUCUGUCAUAUUGGCAACAUUAGUAAGGUGUUUUUUUUUUUUUUAUGUCUCACACCUCCUCACCUCUAAAUAACACUUGGGACAAGUUUGUUUGCUUCCUGCAUAUGCAAAAUGAUUAAUCCUCACCUAGUGGAAAAAAAAAAAAAAAAAAAGAAGAAGGAGGAGAGGGCACAAGCAAACCAGCAUGUAAACACUGAUAGAUUUCAUUUAUUUUCAUUAUAGUCAAGUUUUCACUCCUUCCCCCUGAAAAGUUUUUUUUUCUUUCUGAGCUGGUAGUGAGAGGGUGCAUUAAACACAUUAAACAUGAAGAGGUGGUUAGCUUUACCUGUUAGCUUGAUCAUGUCAGUAAUACCUUCCUUGAAUAGCUACCACAUUGCUUCAUCCUACCCUCAGUAGUUCUAACCUCAUUUUAAAUGUUGUUUGUGCCUGAGAUUGGUUCAAUAAACCACUGCUGCAAGAGCAGGUCUUUUCUCUCUUGCCAUAAAAUGCAGCUGCAAAAGCAGACACUGAGAAGUGCAGCACUUCCUGACUACAAAGUUGGUUGCACAGAAAUGGCACAUUCAGUAAGAUUUCAGCUGUCAAUGUAUUGGUAUAAGAGUCCUGCAGUUAUGUAGUGGUUUUCUAAUUUUUGGUGUGGGUGGGCUCUGCAGGAGCAGUUUACUAUUUUUGCCAUUGUACCAGGCUGACAGACCCUUUAGCCAGCAGAGGUGUGACACCAGCUCUGUGAGCUUUAAAGAAGGAAAAAUUAUGAAUGCUUCAUUUGCUGUGAAAAGAUGGUAUUUACUUUACUUGGUAUUUGUUUUACUUAUAGUAAGUAUUAUGCAGUGCAGGAAUUGACUUGUUAAUCACAUCUAAAUACGUAGCAGAGGUAUGUAUUUGUAGGCUUGCUGAAGCACUUGCAGAGGAUCAAUAUGUGUGGGAUACGUAUGCACAUGGAGUGGUAGUGUUUUCAGACAUGCUUAGACAACAUAAAAAUACUUUUCAAAGGCAACUAUCAGCACCUUAUCUCAUUACUAAGAAGUCAAGAGAUCUAUUUGAUUUGUAAAGUGUUUUCAUUUAAGGGUUUCAUAUUAACAGCCUUUCAUGUAUUUGGUUUUCUUUUUUUGGUAUUUGCAUGCAAGCAAUUGAAGUUGCAUAAUGCUGCAAAAUAUUGUCCUUAAAAAUUCAGUCAAAGACAUUUAAAUUAUUUGUUUUGGAUAAAUGUUUCACCAGCUGACUUGUACUUACCCAUUUUUGUGUUGUUCUUGCUGUGAAACUUUAUAUGUAAAAACAUGGACACUGGUUUUCUGUGACAUCAGGCUAGUGCUGCAUCAGUUUGCACAGAAAUACAAGACCCAGAUUCAGACUGGAACAGAAGGUUUCAGGGGGCUUAGUAUGAACAAUUUGACUUCCCAGAGUCACAAGUGGCUGAGUAACUCUGUGGGUUUAACAGCAUGCUAUAUAUCUAUAAAAAAAAAAAUAUUAUGGCACUGAGGAAAAUACAGACAUCCCUUGUACUGGUUAUGCUUUCUUCCAUCCUUAAUAUGUCUCAAGUAAAAAGCAUGAUUUUGUGAGUCUUGA
Anas platyrhynchos (mallard) is the source of this 3496-nucleotide long non-coding RNA. RefSeq lists it as uncharacterized. Lineage: Eukaryota; Metazoa; Chordata; Aves; Anseriformes; Anatidae. The record is from RefSeq and is a predicted model, not a curated record.